RNAcentral lists this ribosomal RNA (467 nucleotides) under Stenotrophomonas maltophilia. RNAcentral's name for it is "bacterial SSU rRNA". It matches the Rfam family "Bacterial small subunit ribosomal RNA", at positions 56 to 513 of the family's 1533-position model. Lineage: Bacteria; Pseudomonadati; Pseudomonadota; Gammaproteobacteria; Lysobacterales; Lysobacteraceae. The record is from RNAcentral.
UGCAGUCGAACGGCAGCACAGGAGAGCUUGCUCUCUGGGUGGCGAGUGGCGGACGGGUGAGGAAUACAUCGGAAUCUACUCUGUCGUGGGGGAUAACGUAGGGAAACUUACGCUAAUACCGCAUACGACCUACGGGUGAAAGCAGGGGACCUUCGGGCCUUGCGCGAUUGAAUGAGCCGAUGUCGGAUUAGCUAGUUGGCGGGGUAAAGGCCCACCAAGGCGACGAUCCGUAGCUGGUCUGAGAGGAUGAUCAGCCACACUGGAACUGAGACACGGUCCAGACUCCUACGGGAGGCAGCAGUGGGGAAUAUUGGACAAUGGGCGCAAGCCUGAUCCAGCCAUACCGCGUGGGUGAAGAAGGCCUUCGGGUUGUAAAGCCCUUUUGUUGGGAAAGAAAUCCAGCUGGCUAAUACCCGGUUGGGAUGACGGUACCCAAAGAAUAAGCACCGGCUAACUUCGUGCCAGCA